This 76-nucleotide transfer RNA is filed under the name Candidatus Omnitrophota bacterium. Its description in RNAcentral is "Candidatus Omnitrophica bacterium tRNA-Lys". It matches the Rfam family "tRNA". From Rfam's summary of the family: Transfer RNA (tRNA) molecules are approximately 80 nucleotides in length. Their secondary structure includes four short double-helical elements and three loops (D, anti-codon, and T loops). Lineage: Bacteria; Pseudomonadati; Candidatus Omnitrophota. The record is from RNAcentral.
GGGCCGUUAGCUCAAUUGGUAGAGCAUCAGACUCUUAAUCUGGGGGUUGAUGGUUCGAUUCCAUCACGGCUCACCA